ACGGGGCGCAGGCCGAAAACUUUACAAUGCUGGCAACACGAUAAGGGAACCUCGAGUGCCAGGUUACAAAUCUGGCUGUCGAGAUGCCUAAAAAGCAUUUCAUAGCAAGGGCCGGGCAAGACCGGUGCCAGCCGCCGCGGUAACACCGGCGGCUCGAGUGGUAUCCGUUAUUAUUGGGUCUAAAGGGUCUGUAGCCGGCCGGAUAAGUCUCUUGAGAAAUCUGGCAGCUUAACUGUCAGGCUUUCAGGAGAUACUGUCUGGCUCGAGGCCGGGAGAGGUGAGAGGUACUUCAGGGGUAGGGGUGAAAUCUUGUAAUCCUUGAAGGACCACCAGUGGCGAAGGCGUCUCACCAGAACGGACCUGACGGCAAGGGACGAAAGCUAGGGGCACGAACCGGAUUAGAUACCCGGGUAGUCCUAGCCGUAAACGAUACUCGCUAGGUGUCGGCCACGGUGCGACCGUUGUCGGUGCCGUAGGGAAGCCGUGAAGCGAGCCACCUGGGAAGUACGGCCGCAAGGCUGAAACUUAAAGGAAUUGGCGGGGGAGCACCACAACGGGUGGAGCUUGCGGUUUAAUUGGAUUCAACGCCGGAAAUCUUACCGGGACCGACAGCAAUAUGAAGGCCAGGCUGAAGACUUUGCCGGAUUAGCUGAGAGGUGGUGCAUGGCCGUCGUCAGUUCGUACUGUGAAGCAUCCUGUUAAGUCAGGCAACGAGCGAGACCCACGCCCACAGUUGCCAGCGUACUCUCCGGAGUGACGGGUACACUGUGGGGACCGCCGCUGCUAAAGCGGAGGAAGGAAUGGGCAACGGUAGGUCAGUAUGCCCCGAAUAUCCCGGGCUACACGCGAGCUACAAUGGUUGGUACAAUGGGUAUCUACCCCGAAAGGGGACGGAAAUCUCCUAAAACCAAUCUUAGUUCGGAUUGAGGGCUGCAACUCGCCCUCAUGAAGCUGGAAUCCGUAGUAAUCGCGUUUCAACAGAACGCGGUGAAUACGUCCCUGCUCCUUGUACACACCGCCCGUCA
This 1025-nucleotide ribosomal RNA is filed under the name uncultured Methanosarcina sp. RNAcentral describes it as "bacterial SSU rRNA". It matches the Rfam family "Archaeal small subunit ribosomal RNA", at positions 325 to 1355 of the family's 1478-position model. The record is from RNAcentral. Lineage: Archaea; Methanobacteriati; Methanobacteriota; Methanomicrobia; Methanosarcinales; Methanosarcinaceae.